CAUUUCCCCACAGACCUAUUGCUGUCUUCUGAAGACACAAGCCCCAAGCCUCACUGAACAGCCUGAGAAGACCAGACUCAAAUGGCAUCUUACCUGAUUUUCUUGAUAGUCCUCCUGUGUUUUGACAAAGGAAGUACUCUGCAGUGUUAUUCAUGUGAGGGGGACAGCUGCCAUGGCAAGAACCAAAGUCCCACCAACUGUUCAUCCUUUGAUGCCUACUGUGAGACCAUCGUGGUGACUGUCCAGUUGGAUACCCACAAGAUUGAAAGAAUCAUCCAGAAAUGCUCUUCUAUCUGCCAGCCCCACAACAAAACAUUUGACAUGGUGCAUGUGACAUCGAGUUGUUGUAACUACACCCUCUGCAAUAGCAAUGGAGUGACCCAUGUGGCUGCCAGCAGAGGAGCGGUAGCCUUGACUGUGCUGACUUCCUUUGCUUUUCUCCUCUUUGGGAGCAGGCUUUGAUGUGCCAGCUGAUUACUUGAUUUAUCAACUAGGGAGCAUUUAUUGAGCACCUACUGUUUGUCUAUCAAAAUCAAAGAAGACCUGCCCUUGGGGGAGCUAACAAUCAAAUGAGGUAGACAAAUAAAUAUAUGUACAUAAUACA
RNAcentral lists this long non-coding RNA (604 nucleotides) under Monodelphis domestica (gray short-tailed opossum). RNAcentral's name for it is "lncRNA (ENSMODG00000037334.1)". Lineage: Eukaryota; Metazoa; Chordata; Mammalia; Didelphimorphia; Didelphidae. The record is from RNAcentral.